Molecule: ribosomal RNA, 502 nt
Filed under: uncultured bacterium
Lineage: Bacteria
Description: partial 16S ribosomal RNA
Rfam family: Bacterial small subunit ribosomal RNA
Source: RNAcentral
GACGAACGCUGGCGGCGUGCUUAACACAUGCAAGUCGAACGGUGAAGGGGCCUGCUUUUGUGGGCCCUGGAUGAGUGGCGAACGGGUGAGUAACACGUGAGUAACCUGCCCCCUUCUUCUGGAUAACCGCAUGAAAGUGUGGCUAAUACGGGAUAUUCUGGGUCUGUCGCAUGAUGGGUCUGGGAAAGAUUGCGCCUUUGGGUGUUUUUGGUGGGGGAUGGGCUCGCGGCCUAUCAGCUUGUUGGUGGGGUGAUGGCCUACCAAGGCGGUGACGGGUAGCCGGCCUGAGAGGGUGGACGGUCACACUGGGACUGAGACACGGCCCAGACUCCUACGGGAGGCAGCAGUGGGGAAUAUUGCACAAUGGGCGCAAGCCUGAUGCAGCGACGCCGCGUGAGGGAUGGAGGCCUUCGGGUUGUAAACCUCUUUCGCCAGUGAAGCAGGCCUGCUCCGUGUGGGUGGGUUGACGGUAGCUGGAUAAGAAGCGCCGGCUAACUACGUG